This 74-nucleotide transfer RNA is filed under the name Candidatus Shapirobacteria bacterium CG_4_9_14_0_2_um_filter_39_11. RNAcentral describes it as "tRNA-Trp". It matches the Rfam family "tRNA". Rfam says of the family: Transfer RNA (tRNA) molecules are approximately 80 nucleotides in length. Their secondary structure includes four short double-helical elements and three loops (D, anti-codon, and T loops). Lineage: Bacteria; Candidatus Shapironibacteriota. The record is from RNAcentral.
AGGGGCGUAGCUCAAUUGGUAGUAGCACUUGUCUCCAAAACAAGAGGUUACAGGUUCGACUCCUGUCGCCCCUG